RNAcentral lists this small nuclear RNA (106 nucleotides) under Pongo abelii (Sumatran orangutan). Lineage: Eukaryota; Metazoa; Chordata; Mammalia; Primates; Hominidae. The record is from RNAcentral.
CUAUUAUAAAAUCAAAAGUUCAACCAAAACUGGAAUGAUACAGAGAAGAUUAGCAUGGCUCCUAUGCAAAGAUGACACACAAAUUUGUGAAGCAUUACAUAUUUUU